Molecule: ribosomal RNA, 467 nt
Filed under: uncultured bacterium
Lineage: Bacteria
Description: partial 16S ribosomal RNA
Rfam family: Bacterial small subunit ribosomal RNA
Source: RNAcentral
GACGAACGCUGGCGGCGUGCUUAACACAUGCAAGUCGAACGGAAAGGCCCUGCUUUUGUGGGGUGCUCGAGUGGCGAACGGGUGAGUAACACGUGAGUAACCUGCCCUUGACUUUGGGAUAACUUCAGGAAACUGGGGCUAAUACCGGAUAGGAGCUCCUGCUGCAUGGUGGGGGUUGGAAAGUUUCGGCGGUUGGGGAUGGACUCGCGGCUUAUCAGCUUGUUGGUGGGGUAGUGGCUUACCAAGGCUUUGACGGGUAGCCGGCCUGAGAGGGUGACCGGCCACAUUGGGACUGAGAUACGGCCCAGACUCCUACGGGAGGCAGCAGUGGUGAAUAUUGCACAAUGGGCGGAAGCCUGAUGCAGCAACGCCGCGUGCGGGAUGACGGCCUUCGGGUUGUAAACCGCUUUCGCCUGUGACGAAGCGUGAGUGACGGUAAUGGGUAAGAAGCACCGGCUAACUACGUG